GUGCUCGCUUCGGCAGCACAUGUACUAAAAUUGGAGUGAUACAGAGAAGAUUAGCUGUGGCCCCUGCGCAAGGAUGACACGCAAGUUCGUGAAGCGUUCCAUAUUUAA
Small nuclear RNA from Cervus hanglu yarkandensis (Yarkand deer), 108 nucleotides. NCBI's taxonomy places the organism in Eukaryota, Metazoa, Chordata, Mammalia, Artiodactyla, Cervidae. The record is from Ensembl.